UUUCUGGUUGAUCCUGCCAGAGGUCACUGCUAUCGGGGUUCGAUUAAGCCAUGCGAGUCGAGAGGGUUCGGCCCUCGGCGUACUGCUCAGUAACACGUGGAUAACCUGCCCUAGGGAAGGGGAUAACCCCGGGAAACUGGGGAUAAUACCCUAUAGAUUACAGAUGCUGGAAUGCCCUGUAAUCCAAAGUUCCGACGCCCUAGGAUGGAUCUGCGGCCGAUUAGGUUGUUGUUGGGGUAAUGGCCCAACAAGCCCGUAAUCGGUACGGGUUGUGGGAGCAAGAGCCCGGAGUUGGAUUCUGAGACACGAAUCCAGGCCCUACGGGGCGCAGCAGGCGCGAAAACUUUACAAUGCGGGCAACCGUGAUAAGGGAACCUCGAGUGCCUGUAAAUGCAGGCUGUUCAGGUGCCUAAAACACACCUGAAGAAAGGGCCGGGCAAGACCGGUGCCAGCCGCCGCGGUAAUACCGGCUGCUCGAGUGGUGGCCGCUUUUAUUGGGCUUAAAGCGUUCGUAGCUGGGUCGUUAAGUCUCUUGGGAAAUCUGGCGGCUUAACCGUCAGGCGUCUAAGGGAUACUGGCAAUCUUGGAACCGGGAGAGGUGAGGGGUACUUCGGGGGUAGGAGUGAAAUCCUGUAAUCCUCGAGGGACCACCUGUGGCGAAGGCGCCUCACCAGAACGGCUUCGACAGUGAGGGACGAAAGCUGGGGGAGCAAACCGGAUUAGAUACCCGGGUAGUCCCAGCCGUAAACUAUGCGCGUUAGGUGUAUCGGUGACCACGAGUUACCGAGGUGCCGAAGGGAAACCGUGAAACGUGCCGCCUGGGAAGUACGGUCGCAAGGCUGAAACUUAAAGGAAUUGGCGGG
RNAcentral lists this ribosomal RNA (863 nucleotides) under uncultured archaeon. RNAcentral's name for it is "bacterial SSU rRNA". It matches the Rfam family "Archaeal small subunit ribosomal RNA", at positions 1 to 872 of the family's 1478-position model. The record is from RNAcentral.